CACGGUAAACGAUGGAUGCCCGCUGUCUGCGAUAUACUGUGAGCGGCCAAGAGAAAUCGUUAAGCAUCCCACCUGGGGAGUACGCCGGCAACGGUGAAACUCAAAGGAAUUGACGGGGGCCCGCACAAGCGGAGGAACAUGUGGUUUAAUUCGAUGAUACGCGAGGAACCUUACCCGGGCUUGAACUGCAGCAGACGGAUCUAGAGAUAGUGACUCCCUUCGGGGCUGCUGUGGAGGUGCUGCAUGGUUGUCGUCAGCUCGUGCCGUGAGGUGUCGGCUUAAGUGUCAUAACGAGCGCAACCCUUUUCAUUAGUUGCCAUCAGGUAAUGCUGGGCACUCUGGUGAUACUGCCACCGUAAGGUGUGAGGAAGGUGGGGAUGACGUCAAAUCAGCACGGCCCUUACGUCCGGGGCUACACACGUGUUACAAUGGGAGGUACAGAGAGUUGGUUGUACGCAAGUGCGAUCUAAUCCUUAAAGCCUUCCUCAGUUCGGAUUGGGGUCUGCAACCCGACC
RNAcentral lists this ribosomal RNA (515 nucleotides) under uncultured bacterium. RNAcentral's name for it is "bacterial SSU rRNA". It matches the Rfam family "Bacterial small subunit ribosomal RNA", at positions 798 to 1317 of the family's 1533-position model. The record is from RNAcentral.